UUUUUCACAUUUGCAGUUAUUGUGGGAAGGGCUAGGACUUGGCGGAGGUGACGGUGUUGGAAAUUGGCACACAGGAACAAUGAUAAUAAAAAGGUUCUUCUUGGACUUGGAGGUGGUCACUAUGGAUAUUAAUUAUUCUGAGUUUUAAAAGUUGGCAAAAGAAUGCCAUCACAAGUUUUUUAGCAGAGCAAAAUAUACAAGUCGGGGGGAAGCCUUCCGACUUCUUUUAACAUGAGCACGUUCCUUCGAAUUACUAUAGCUUCUGCUAU
This is a long non-coding RNA of Dioscorea cayenensis subsp. rotundata (Guinea yam), 269 nucleotides long. RefSeq lists it as uncharacterized. NCBI's taxonomy places the organism in Eukaryota, Viridiplantae, Streptophyta, Magnoliopsida, Dioscoreales, Dioscoreaceae. The transcript is spliced from 3 exons. The record is from RefSeq and is a predicted model, not a curated record.